RNAcentral lists this ribosomal RNA (377 nucleotides) under Paralembus sp. RNAcentral describes it as "partial small subunit ribosomal RNA". It matches the Rfam family "Eukaryotic small subunit ribosomal RNA", at positions 582 to 975 of the family's 1831-position model. Lineage: Eukaryota; Ciliophora; Oligohymenophorea; Philasterida; Philasteridae. The record is from RNAcentral.
AUUCCAGCUCCAAUAGCGUAUAUUAAAGUUGUUGCAGUUAAAAAGCUCGUAGUUGAACUUCUGUGUGUGCCCAGUUCUGGCUUCGGUCAAGCUGUGGUGCUCACAUCCGCUUGCAAACCUAGUCCGGCCUUCAUUGGUCGACUAGGGGAGUAGGCUUUUUACUUUGAAAAAAUUAGAGUGUUUCAAGCAGGCAAUGGCUCGAAUACAUUAGCAUGGAAUAAUGGAAUAGGACUUUUGUCCAUUUGGUUGGUUAUUGGACAUGAGUAAUGAUUAACAGGGACAGUUGGGGGCAUUAGUAUUUAAUUGUCAGAGGUGAAAUUCUUGGAUUUAUUAAAGACUAACUUAUGCGAAAGCAUUUGCCAAGGAUGUUUUCAUUA